RNAcentral lists this ribosomal RNA (492 nucleotides) under uncultured bacterium. RNAcentral's name for it is "partial 16S ribosomal RNA". It matches the Rfam family "Bacterial small subunit ribosomal RNA", at positions 29 to 507 of the family's 1533-position model. The record is from RNAcentral.
AGUGAACGCUGGCGGUAGGCCUAACACAUGCAAGUCGAACGGCAGCACAGUAAGAGCUUGCUCUUACGGGUGGCGAGUGGCGGACGGGUGAGGAAUACAUCGGAAUCUACUUUUUCGUGGGGGAUAACGUAGGGAAACUUACGCUAAUACCGCAUACGCCCUACGGGUGAAAGCAGGGGAUCUUCGGACCUUGCGCGAUUGAAUGAGCCGAUGGCGGAUUAGCUAGUUGGCGGGGUAAAGGCCCACCAAGGCGACGAUCCGUAGCUGGUCUGAGAGGAUGAUUAGCCACACUGGAACUGAGACACGGUCCAGACUCCUACGGGAGGCAGCAGGGGGGAAUAUUGGACAAUGGGCGCAAGCCUGAUCCAGCCAUACCGCGUGGGUGAAGAAGGCCUUCGGGUUGUAAAGCCCUUUUGUUGGGAAAGAAAAGCAGCAGGUUAAUACCCCGCUGUUCUGACGGUACCCAAAUAAUAAGCACCGGCUAACUUCGUG